Molecule: ribosomal RNA, 277 nt
Filed under: uncultured bacterium
Lineage: Bacteria
Description: partial 16S ribosomal RNA
Rfam family: Bacterial small subunit ribosomal RNA
Source: RNAcentral
CUUGCUAAGUUUGAUGGCGACCGGCGCACGGGUGAGUAACACGUAUCCAACCUGCCGAUGACUCGGGGAUAGCCUUUCGAAAGAAAGAUUAAUACCCGAUGGCAUAGUUCUUCCGCAUGGUGGAACUAUUAAAGAAUUUCGGUCAUCGAUGGGGAUGCGUUCCAUUAGGUUGUUGGCGGGGUAACGGCCCACCAAGCCUUCGAUGGAUAGGGGUUCUGAGAGGAAGGUCCCCCACAUUGGAACUGAGACACGGUCCAAACUCCUACGGGAGCAGCUG